UGGCAAGCGUUGUCCGGAUUUAUUGGGCGUAAAGGGAGCGCAGGCGGUGUCUUAAGUCUGAUGUGAAAGCCCACGGCUCAACCGUGGAGGGUCAUUGGAAACUGGGACACUUGAGUGCAGAAGAGGAGAGCGGAAUUCCAUGUGUAGCGGUGAAAUGCGUAGAUAUAUGGAGGAACACCAGUGGCGAAGGCGGCUCUCUGGUCUGUAACUGACGCUGAGGCUCGAAAGCGUGGGGAGCAAACA
RNAcentral lists this ribosomal RNA (243 nucleotides) under uncultured bacterium. RNAcentral's name for it is "partial 16S ribosomal RNA". It matches the Rfam family "Bacterial small subunit ribosomal RNA", at positions 532 to 774 of the family's 1533-position model. The record is from RNAcentral.